GACGAACGCUGGCGGCGUGCUUAACACAUGCAAGUCGAACGGAAAGGCCCAGGCUUGCUGGGGUACUCGAGUGGCGAACGGGUGAGUAACACGUGGGUGACCUGCCCUUGACUUCGGGAUAAGUUCGGGAAACUGGGGCUAAUACCGGAUAGGACGAUGGGUUGGAUGGUGGGGUGGAAAGAUUUUCCGUGGUGGGGGGUGGUCGCGCGGCUUAUCCUCUUGUGUGGGGGGUUGUGCCUUACAGGGGCCUUCGGGGGGCCCGCGCCUGAGGGGGUGCGCGCCCACAUGGGGACAGAGACACGGCACAGACUCCUAGGGGAGGGAGCAGUGGGGUAUAUUGCACAGUGGGCGGGCGUCAGAUGCAGCAGCGGCGCGUGCGGGGUGACGGCCUUCGGGUUGUAAACCGCUCUCGCCUGUGACGACGCGUGAGUGACGGUAAUGGGUAAAGAAGCACCGGCUAACUACGUG
Molecule: ribosomal RNA, 468 nt
Filed under: uncultured bacterium
Lineage: Bacteria
Description: partial 16S ribosomal RNA
Rfam family: Bacterial small subunit ribosomal RNA
Source: RNAcentral